RNAcentral lists this ribosomal RNA (82 nucleotides) under Klebsiella oxytoca. RNAcentral describes it as "partial 16S ribosomal RNA". It matches the Rfam family "Bacterial small subunit ribosomal RNA", at positions 1 to 80 of the family's 1533-position model. Lineage: Bacteria; Pseudomonadati; Pseudomonadota; Gammaproteobacteria; Enterobacterales; Enterobacteriaceae. RNAcentral also lists the same sequence under 7 other names. The record is from RNAcentral.
UUAAAUUGAAGAGUUUGAUCAUGGCUCAGAUUGAACGCUGGCGGCAGGCCUAACACAUGCAAGUCGAACGGUAGCACAGAGA